AUGCGCGCUGAAGUUACAGCGCUAGCCGAGGAGUGGGGUCUGAGCGCUGAUCCUGCGCGUGAUUCCAGCGCCUCUUUGUUAUUGGCUGCUUCGGGGCGCGGUGCUCGGGCGCGGACGCCCUGGAUUGGUGUUUGGGAGCAGAGGGGUGGGACUCCAGAUGCUGCCGCGGGAGGUCCGGACACUGGCGGCCAUAGGACUCGCCGGUAUUUAAUGACAUCUUAAAGGGGUUGCUGUAAAGGACUAAUGCCUAAACUGUCUCAGCAUGGCCUAUCGAGGAGGAGGUGGGCGCCGCCGCCGUGGUCCCUCAGUGGUGUUCUACCCUGUUAGCCCUGGACGUCUUUUCACAUGUAGAACUCCUACUCAUAACAUAUGCAUGGUGUCGGACUUUUUCUACCCGAAUAUGGGAGGCGUGGAAAGCCACAUUUACCAGCUCUCUCAGUGCCUGAUUGAAAGAGGACACAAAGUCAUAAUUGUCACCCAUGCUUACGGAAAUCGAAAAGGCAUCCGUUACCUCACUAAAGGCCUCAAAGUCUAUUACUUGCCUCUGAAAGUUAUGUACAACCAGUCUACAGCCACAACCCUCUUUCACAGUCUGCCUUUGCUCAGGUACAUAUUUGUUCGAGAGAGAGUCACCAUAAUCCACUCACAUAGUUCCUUUUCUGCUAUGGCCCAUGACGCCCUCUUCCACGCCAAGACAAUGGGGCUCCGUACAGUCUUCACGGACCAUUCCCUUUUUGGAUUUGCUGAUGUCAGCUCGGUGCUUACAAACAAGCUUCUAACUGUCUCUCUUUGUGACACAAACCACAUAAUUUGUGUCUCUUACACUAGUAAGGAGAACACUGUGCUAAGAGCAGCACUGAAUCCUGAAAUAGUGUCCGUCAUUCCUAAUGCUGUAGAUCCUACUGACUUCACUCCAGACCCAUUUAGAAGGCAUGAUAGCAUAACUAUUGUUAUUGUCAGCAGACUUGUUUACAGAAAAGGUACUGAUUUGCUUAGUGGUAUAAUACCUGAACUCUGUCAGAAAUAUCAAGAUUUAAAUUUCAUAAUUGGAGGAGAGGGACCAAAGAGAAUAAUUUUGGAAGAAGUACGGGAAAGAUACCAGCUACAUGACAGAGUGCGUCUCUUGGGAGCCUUAGAACACAAGGAUGUUAGAAAUGUCUUAGUUCAAGGACAUAUUUUUCUUAAUACUUCCCUUACUGAAGCAUUCUGCAUGGCCAUUGUGGAAGCAGCCAGUUGUGGUUUACAGGUCGUAAGUACCAGGGUUGGUGGAAUUCCCGAAGUACUUCCAGAAAAUCUUAUUAUCCUUUGUGAGCCUUCUGUAAAAUCCUUGUGUGAAGGAUUGGAAAAAGCUAUUUCCCAACUGAAGUCCGGAGUAUUGCCAGCUCCAGAAAAAGUCCAUAACAUAGUAAAGACUUUCUACACCUGGAGGAAUGUUGCGGAACGAACAGAAAAAGUAUGUCACCUGCCCAGAAAAGGGUAUUUGAAGAUUGUGUCUGAAUUCCUGAGGUUUCAUGUACACGCUGGCUUUGUCUUGUACAGGUUUACCAUUUCUGUUCUAUUGCUUACGUUUAUGAAGUCUCUCCCAAAUGAAAAGAAGUGAACUGUGUACUUUUGGUAUAUUUAUGUUUCUCGUCAAAUUAUUGCAUUUGACAUCUGAAAGUAGCAGUAAUGCCAUCUACACGUAAUUGUCUGGAAGUCACAGCCAUUACAGUCAGAAGUAAUAUUAAAAUAAUAUUAAAAUCUAUAAGAUGUUUUCUUGACGCUGUUUAGAAUGCUAAAGUAUUCUAAAUAUAUGGUUUUACUUAGUCUGGUUGCAGCAACUCUAUAACUUGCAAAUAUUUAAUUCAGGCUAUUUCCUAAAACACUUGUGUCGCUUUUGCUAACUACUGUAAUUUUCUACAGGAAAAGGAUUUUUUCAGCUUUAGGCUGAUUGAGAACAUAAUAAGUUGGAAUUCAAAAUGCACAUGACACAUGUCAGGAGUAUGAUCGCACAGAAAAAAGCAGUAAUAGAGAAUUUCCAGGAUAGGUACAUGAUAUAGAUCAGUGGUCGGCAAACUGGCCCCUUGAGUGUGGCUCUUCCACAAAAUACCACAUGCGGGCAUGCACGUACAGUGCGAUUGAAACUUCAUGGCCCGUGCCACGGGGCCGAAGAGCUGCAUGUUGUCUCGUGAGCCGCGGUUUGCCGACCACUGAUAUAGAUUCAUACCCUCAGGUGGGACAGUGUGACUGGAAAAUGCUUCCUUGUUUCAAGUUAGGGGCUUCAUUUAUUCCGCUGGGUUUUGUCCUUUGUUUACUCUCAUUACUUCGUCUGCUUCAUGCCUCUUAUUACCAGGUAACACACUGGGGGAAACACUCUGCUUGUCAGUAUAGAGAAAUUGUGAACCAGGAGCUCAGUCAGUUGGGAGCAUGGAGGAGAUAGUAGUUUAGACGAGUGCUUUAUGGUCUCAUUGUACUCAGUGAAGCAGCUAGUUGCUAGCCAGAAUAGAGAGCAAGAUGGAGCCUCGGAGUGGAUAGAAUAGCUCUUGACUGUAAGCCUCUCUUACCUGGUUUAAUUUAUAAAUUCCCGUACAUAAGAUGAACUCAUAUUUGAAUAUAAGUGCAGGAGAACUCUUUUAUCUCUAAAAAUUGUCGUAUACAUUUCCCAUUGAAGUGUGAGAUAUUUGAGUUAAUAGUUUUUAAAAAAUACAUAUUUUUAUUGAUUUCGGAGAGGAGAGAGAGAUAGAAACAUCAGUAGUGAGAGAGAAUCAUCAGUUGGCUGCCUCCUGUACACCCUUUAUUGGGGAUCGAGCCGGAAACCUGGGCAUGUGCCCCGACCUGGAAUCAAAUCUUGACCUCCUGGUUCAUGGGUCGACACUCAACCAAUGAGCCACGCCAGCUGGUCUGAGUUAACAGUUUUGACUGAAAUGUCUCUGAGACACACUCACCUUCUAGGAGUUUUUCAAUAUCUCUACCCAUCUAUAAUAAUAAAAGGGUAAUAUGCUAAUUAGACCAGAAGUCUUCUGGAUAUCAUUCCAGACGUCCUCCCUGAUGAAGCUGGGGUCAGAGGAAAGCCAGCGCGGGUCCCAGGUGCCUGCCAGUGGCCUGGGGGAAGCCAGCCUGGUUCCCGGGUGCCUGCUGGUGGCCAGAGGAGGGAAGCCUGGAUCCCGGGUGCCGGAGGGAAGCCAGUGUCAGCAGUCUGGGGAAGGAAGGACUACUCUUGCAUGAAUUUUCGUGUAUCGGGCCUCUAGCAUGAAAUAACUGCCUUUUUCCUUUAGAGGUUGGAGUGUAGCACUGAUUACCUGCCAGGAAUACAUGUCAGAAUCACCUAGGAAGCCUUUUCAGGAGCUGUUCUUUCCAUCUUCCUGCCCGCCGCCCCCCCCCCCCCCCCCCCCCCGCCGCCUACUCCCAUCCCAGCCACUCCCUUGAUUCUAAUAUGACCCUUUAAGAGCACAAGUGGAAUUUGGGAUUGGCUGGCAGGGAUAUUUGGUUAGACAGUUGUUUUUUUCAGUGAUACUCUACUCUGCUUGGUAACCAUGGCUCCGUAAGUUGUGACUUCACUUCUUGAUCACAUCAUGUAAACCUCGGAAGUCUGAGCUACUGUAGAUAUUAAGUUCGGGGCAAAGAUCUCUGGUGACAAUAUGUCAGCAUAUAUUAAAGAAGCUAAUUAGUAUUAUUUUUAACCACAUUUUUAGUUUCGCUUAAAGUAAUAGUGAAACAUUUGUAUUUUCUCUGCUUUAUACUCUGAUGAUUUAUAGUAUUAAUUCAGAAAACAAAGUCCUCUAUAAUGGAUUAACCUAUUGUUCUCUUCACUGUAGUAAAUUACUUUGUAGCUUAAGAUCAUAAAUUAAUUGACCUAGAAAUAAAGGUGGACACACUGGUCAGUUUGUAGUUGCUCUUUUAAUUCUACCUGUCCCGCACAGGACAUUUGUUCCCUUUCAACUCCUCCUUCCUAGUUUAACUGCUCUUUAGAAAACUGAACAAUUGUGAUUCACCAUUCUCAGUAUAAUUUGCAACAAAAUUCUGAUUCAAAGGUAUUCUAAAUAUCCUUGGGGUAGAAGAGCUAGAUGAAACAUUCCGUAUCUUUCAAAGGCCAUUGGCCUACAGAACUUGUACUGCACAUCAUAACUUUCUUGCGCUCAAAAGGAGAUUCAUUACAGAUCUCAUUGAUACAUGAGAAGGAGCACAGCUAGUGCUCAAAUAUGAUUAAAAUUAACGCUGGCCCAUUUGAUGUGUUCAAAUAAAUAUGUUUAAAGAUCUUUGUGUGUUUUUUAAAAAUAUUGCCAAGUUUAGUGCUUAAUGAUUUAAAAAGCAAGUCACCUACUGUCAGUUCUCAGCAAUAAACUUUGUUUUCUUUGCCAGUGUUUAUACCAAGGGAGGGGGGCGGAAAUCUGGCCCACCGGCCCGUAUAAAGCCUGAGAAAUCAUUUGGUUUGGCUCUGCCAAGGCAACUGCAGGUGGGACUCGAAAUUCAGUAAAUCUAGGCGCUUUUUUCAUAGCAACAUAAAUUUAUAUUAAGUGAGUUAAAUUAAACGAAUGAUGUUAUAAAUAUUUAAAUGGCUCUUGACAGAAAAAAGGUUCCCCACCCCUGACCUCUACCAUCUACUAAGAUUUCCCCCCAUCUCUUUUCCCCUUCUGUUAUUUGGAAUCCAUGAAAUGUUUCUGUAUAUUCUCAUCAUCUGUGCUCAGCAGCAGGCCUCAUGUAGCUGUUGAAAGAAGAGCCACUCUGUACCCAGGAAGAAGCACACUAGAUUGUCACUCUCUGAUUGUGGUUGGUGUCUACCAGAUAGUGGAAAGGGCUUCUCAGCCAAGCCAAGGAAUCUUAGAAGGCCAGCCCCGCUUCAGGGAGUCACUGCUGAAUUAAAUAUGGCCUCCACAGAGGUGACCUGAAGAGGAGUUUCAAAUUCUCCGGACUUCAGAAUUCUCAUAGUUGAGUUAAAAUUGAUGGUGAUGCCCUGGGAGACAGGAGUUGUGGCAUAUUUGUCUUUAUAUCACAGCAUCUAGCCUGGUGUUUUUUCCAGAAUAAGCACUCCAUGAAUGUUGAAUUAAAAGGCAAUACAUUACUAUAAUGAAUUUCAUUAACCACAUCAUUUCUAUAACAACAGCAGCGAAAUGUGUACAAUCGUGUGGCAGGAGAAACUGUGUUACCAAUGGACAAACGACUGGAAAGACUCAUGUCUCACUGUGGCCCAGUAACAGGCUGCAUUUUUGCUUUGUUGGCCG
RNA transcript from Myotis daubentonii (Daubenton's bat), 5198 nucleotides. It is a transcript of the gene named phosphatidylinositol glycan anchor biosynthesis class A, with no coding region annotated. The transcript has 6 exons. The record is from RefSeq and is a predicted model, not a curated record. NCBI's taxonomy places the organism in Eukaryota, Metazoa, Chordata, Mammalia, Chiroptera, Vespertilionidae.